UCCCAGCAGUCCAAGUGGCAGCCACAUUUAUUAGGUCUAAAACAUUCGUAGCUGGCGUGACAAGUUUCUUGUGAAAUUCUACUGCUUAACGGUAGAGCGUGCAAGAAAUACUAUCAUGCUAGAGACUGGAAGACGUAAGGAGUACGUUUGAGGUAGCGGUAAAAUGUUUUAAUCUCAGACGGACUAACAAUGGCGAAGGCACCUUACGAGGACAGUUCUGACAGUGAGGAAUGAAGGCCCGGGGC
This 245-nucleotide ribosomal RNA is filed under the name uncultured archaeon. Its description in RNAcentral is "partial 16S ribosomal RNA". It matches the Rfam family "Archaeal small subunit ribosomal RNA", at positions 474 to 718 of the family's 1478-position model. The record is from RNAcentral.